GAAAAUUUUAGUCAUUCUCGUCAUCUUUUCCCUUCACCGAAAUACAAAGAAUAAAGGAAAAAAUUUGUGGUUUUCUUCUUCCAUGGCCAUUUAUCAUCUAAGGAAAAUAGGUAAGUUUUCAAGUAAUUUUUUGUUAAAUUUUUAGGCUAAAUGCUAGAUUUUCAUUGCCCAUUAAGUAGAUUUUUCAAUUAAGUUAGAUAAGUUAACUUGCCAUUGUUGAAGCUUAAGAAAAUUUAGGUUUUGAGAGUUGACUUCAUGCAUGUGUGAUGUUGGGCUGAUCCAUGGUUGAAUCACGUUAGUAAUAUAAUGGAAAUUGUUAAAUCAUUAGGGACCCAUUUGUAAGAAAGAAAAGCUUUAGAAAUAGAUGUUAUAAAUUGAUAAUUCGAGGUUUCUUGAGAAUGAAUACGAAAUCGGGUUAUGGUUCGAUAGACUAAAUAUCGAGAUAUCAAGAUACGAGCAUUUCGGAUAUAAAGAUUUAAAAGGGACUUAUUUGUAAAGUAUGUAACUAUGCUUAGCUUUGGUUAUGUUUUAGUGAAUCUAAUACUAUUUCGUAAAUGAAUAAUUCAAUGUAGUUGAGAGAAGGUCGGAUUUUCGAGGGUUAAAGGCGAGAAUGUUCGUCGAAUCGGUUUGUGCUAGCAUAAUUUGAUUUUCUCACAUAUAAAUUUUAAGUAAUUAGCUUAUUCAAAUAUAAAUCAUAAAUAAUAGAAUGAGUAUUGAAAUAUCAUGAAUAUAUAUGCAUGAGUAUAUAUUCUAUGUUAUAAUGAAAAACUAUGGAAAGUUAGACAAUAAUAUGAAUGUUUGAUGUAAAUCUAUUAUAAUGCAUGAAUGACAUGUGAAAGAAUGAAAAUGUAAUAGAAGUAAUAUGAAAGGUUAUGUAAUGAUUAGUAUUAUGUGAACUAUUGCUUGGUAAUAUUGUAAAUGCCCUAUUAAACGAUCUCCGAUAGAGUCGUUUAUAGUUGGCAUGUCAUAGUAUUAGUUAUAUGGCGAUUUCUUUGGUUUAUACUAAUGAGGUGCGGAGCUCAUAUUACUUUGGACGUACCGAUGAAGUGCGGAGAACACAUUACUUCGGUUUAUACCGUUGAGGCGUGAAACGCAUAUUACUUUGGACAUACCAAUGAUGCAUUAGGUGCAAUUUAUAUUGGUUUGAUGAUGAGAUGAUCUAUGUACCCGUCUUGAGUCAAUGUUCAGUUGAUAAGGGUUGUAAACUAUUUUACAUGAUUGAUUAUUUUAAUUGAUAUGGGAAAAAUGAAUAAAUCAUGUUGAUUUGAUGAAUUGAAUGUAAUGAAUAAUAGCAUGUGAAGGACCAUGCGGAUUGAGUGCGAUGAGCCUUGAGGGCCAAUAAUGUUAUGAAACGAGUUAUGCUACUCGAUUUGGUGUAACUGAGAUAUGGAUAUUGAUUUGAAAAUGUCAAAAGUUAUAAAUAAUAUUGACAUAGUAUGGAU
RNAcentral lists this long non-coding RNA (1442 nucleotides) under Gossypium barbadense (sea-island cotton). Its description in RNAcentral is "long non-coding RNA (GBAR_LNC006813)". The record is from RNAcentral. Lineage: Eukaryota; Viridiplantae; Streptophyta; Magnoliopsida; Malvales; Malvaceae.